This is a non-coding RNA of Phasianus colchicus (ring-necked pheasant), 3300 nucleotides long. NCBI's taxonomy places the organism in Eukaryota, Metazoa, Chordata, Aves, Galliformes, Phasianidae. The record is from RefSeq and is a predicted model, not a curated record.
GCCUGUUCCAGCACCUGUCCACUCUUUCUGAGAAGUAUUUCCUAACAUCCCACCUGAAUCUCCCCUGGCACAACUGGAGGCCAUUCACUCUGGUCCUACCUCUAGUUACAUGGCAGAAGAAGCUGACCCCCACCUCACCACAACCACCUUUCAGAGCUCCCUAGUGAUGUGUAUCUGAAUCCCACCUUCAUUUUCCACCUUGAGAGGAAAGCAGGAAGGGGCAACGUGGCUGUUCUGGCCAUCUCUGUAACAGACCUCUGGCACAACUCAACUGAGAAAUGCACCUGGAAAGUGCUCUGCAUCUCCUCAGUUGGAGCUCUGGUGUUGAAUAACCCACAGGUAAAGUCAUAGCUUCAAGAUACUGGGAAAUGUCUAGUGUGAAAAACGCAUGCAUUCUUCCAGAAAAUCAUUUGUGGGCUUGUUUGUUUGGUUUUUUUUUCAUAUUAAUAAAUGUGCAGUCAUUUUGGGUAUAUGAGAAAAAGGCAGCUUAGGUGUUGUAACUGCUGAACUAAGAAUAAAUUACUGAAAAGAAAGUUGUGGUUGUAGAGUAAUUACAAUGUUAAUUGCCUUGAAAAUGCUCACUAUGUGAAUCUGUGAUUCUAUAAUGCAGAAAAAAUUGUUUUCUUAUUUUCUAUUACUUUGUCCUGUUGAGAAGCUGUGUAAAUAGGUGGGAAAACAGGAGAGGUGCCCCAUAAAGCUGUCAAUCACAAAAGGGCGUCAGAUGUGUCUUUGGGAUGGAAGAUCAAGGGCAUGAGUGGUAGUAAACAUACACUGCACUUCCUUUUUAGCAGACUUUGUUUUAGUAUCUGAAGUUCCUCCUUGUUGUAAUGCUCACUGUCCUGUUUCAGUCUGUUGCUGAUAGGAAAGGCAGUUAAAUCCAUGUUCUUUCUGUUGCAAGCAGGAUGGAGUAUGAUGAGCAGGUCCUCCUGGAAGACAUGUUAAGGUACACAUGAGAUGAAGAAGUGAUCUGAGAAAGCCACUAUGGCUUUACCAAAGGCAGACUGUUCCUGACCAACCUGGUGGCCUUCUGUGAUGGAGUGACAGCAUCAGUGGACAAAGGAUGUCUUCUACCUGGACUUCUGCAAGGCUUUGACCUGGUCCUGCACCACAUUCUUAUCACUAAAUUGGAGAGAGGAAUCUGUUGCCUUCAUGGAGUAAAGCCAUUGACAGAACUGCCACAGCACAUUUCCAAUGCAGUUAAAUCAUUGGAUUGUGUACCAGAUAUCAGAGAGAAACUGCAACACUUCAGUUGUUUAAUCAGAUCAGGGCGAAUACUAAGAACAGGCCUCCCUCCUUGCAGCCUGCCAGGUACAAGUGUGCAGGAGGUGAAGGCCUCUGACAACAAGGCUGAGUGAUGCCAGAAAGGGCAACCAGCAUUUGUGCCUGAGAGAUCUGAGAAGAAGAAGGUCUAGUGCUGAACCAGCUCCGUUUUUGAGCUGAGGUUGUUGAAGGGGAAAAAACCCAAAUGAUGCUUUGGUGGCCUAUUCUGACCUGAACGCCUCACCAGCACAAGCAGGCUGGUUCAGUUCCUCUCAGAAGGGCUUCUCAAGGGUGAGCCUUCUCCCGGGUACUUGCAGCUAAAUAAUUCCAAACCCUCUAUUUUGUGCACUGAAAUUCUGUUUCAUAAAACAUUAAGCCUCUGUGUUCUUUCUCAGAAAAGAACAGGCACAUUCUUAUCAUCUAUAUAGUUUAAACCACUGUCACUUUGUUUGUGUCAAAUCACUCAAAGUGCUUUACUGGUUUACAGUGCAACACUUUAUUUCUUGGUGUGACUGCAGAGUAAACAAUAUACUCCCUGCAGUCUUGAAGAUGAUCUUUUCUGCUUCUAGUAUUCAUUAUGCAAGGCAGCGUAAGUGUAGUAUUUGCAUUUCUAGCCUUAAGAAUUUCUGCAGUCUCUUCUGGUUGAAGAAGAAGCUUUCCAGCUUGGGACAAAGCUGUGUCACUGCGGCAAAUGAAGGUGCCCCCCACCACUGCCAAACCAUCAGCCUCUUUGCCUCUGAAAAAACUAUAAUUCCUGAAAGCCUUCCCUCCUCAUUGCAUCUUGCAUGUGUUUCUUAUACCAAAAUCCCACUCCAUCUCCAGAGACGAUUUCCACCACUUAUUUUCAUGUUCAAAAAAAAAAUGUGCUAAUGCUCAGGGGCAACAUUCUUAUUGGUGUCAUCCCCAUAGUGAAGUAACAUGGUUUCUCUUCCAGCUUCAAUGGAGAAUCCAUAAGGGAAGCUCUUUGGAGAAGAAGAGAGUCAAAGCAGCACGCUAACUCCUCAUACCAAUGAAAUCCCCCAAACCACAAGGAGCAACUUGUGUGAGUCAAGCUUCAGUACAUCACCUAAAUAAAAGAGGAUCCUAUGCAAGCCCACAACCUGCCAGCCACUGUGUUUUUGAAGUGCACAUAAGCACUGGCACAGGCUGCCCAGAGGCUCUGGGGUCUUCUCCUUAGGGAUCUGCCAAAGCCACCCGUGCUCUGGGUGUCCCUCCUGGGGCAGGGCUUGGGCAGAGGGAUCCAGAGGUCCCUGCUAUUCUGUGAGAAAUAGGGAAUUUGUCAUAAACUGAUUUGUUUGAAUGCAGGUCUGGAAGCUCUGCUAAAACUUAGAUUUUUAUGUGAUUCUCUGUCAGCAUUCAGGUUACUAAACUCUAUCAGACAAAGCAGGUACCAAGGAGAGUACUAGGAAUCUUUUAAGGGCUUAAACUGCCUUACAGAACCUUGUCUUUGAGGAGAUUUUGAAGAUGAGCUUUUGUAGCACAUUUCUGGUUCAUGAGUAUCACUUCGCUGAAUUGUUGCUAGAGGAAUAAAUAGAUCCAACCUUACUGUUUCAGGAAGGGAAGCUUAGACAGUAUUAAAGGCUGGAACAGCCUCAUCAGCUCCAUACAUUGAGAUUGUGACACAGCGCAGACUACAAGGAGUCUUCAUUUGGACUUUGUGAAAGGUCUAUUUUUCUGUCUGUCAUUAAGAAAAACAACAUAGAAUUGGCUAGGGUAGAAAGAGCAAACCCAUCCCAGGAUACCCAGAUAAUUGGAUCAAAUUAAAGAGAAUCCAAUGCUAUCAUCAGUAUUGUGUUUAAUACCUGAGAAUAAAAAACUUCCUUUGGUACAGGAAGGGAGAUCAAGCGCAUGACAUUACACUUUUCUUAAAUCGUUUUCAGUCCAUGAGCAGCUGCUUUUGGUCAAAAGAGAGAUCUUGAGUUCCUGUGAACACAUGAGGUGAUGAAGGGAUUCUGACUUUAGCAAGAUCUGCUAUGGUAGGACAAGGGGAAAUGGGUUCAAAUUAAAAGAGGGGAGAUUUAGACUGGAUUUAAAGAAAAA